UACCGGCGCCUCAAGUGGUAGUCGCUUUUAUUGGGCCUAAAGCAUCCGUAGCCGGCUCUGUAAGUUUUCGGUUAAAUCCAUGUGCUCAACGCAUGGGCUGCCGAAAAUACUGCAUAGCUAGGGAGUGGGAGAGGUAGACGGUACUCGGUAGGAAGGGGUAAAAUCCUUUGAUCUAUCGAUGACCACCUGUGGCGAAGGCGGUCUACCAGAACACGUUCGACGGUGAGGGAUGAAAGCUGGGGGAGCAAACCGG
RNAcentral lists this ribosomal RNA (253 nucleotides) under uncultured archaeon. RNAcentral describes it as "partial 16S ribosomal RNA". It matches the Rfam family "Archaeal small subunit ribosomal RNA", at positions 474 to 727 of the family's 1478-position model. The record is from RNAcentral.